Molecule: ribosomal RNA, 718 nt
Filed under: uncultured Staphylococcus sp.
Lineage: Bacteria; Bacillati; Bacillota; Bacilli; Caryophanales; Staphylococcaceae
Description: bacterial SSU rRNA
Rfam family: Bacterial small subunit ribosomal RNA
Source: RNAcentral
CAAGUCGAGCGAACGGACGAGAAGCUUGCUUCUCUGAUGUUAGCGGCGGACGGGUGAGUAACACGUGGAUAACCUACCUAUAAGACUGGGAUAACUUCGGGAAACCGGAGCUAAUACCGGAUGAUAUUUUGAACCGCAUGGUUCAAAAGUGAAAGACGGUCUUGCUGUCACUUAUAGAUGGAUCCGCGCUGCAUUAGCUAGUUGGUAAGGUAACGGCUUACCAAGGCAACGAUGCAUAGCCGACCUGAGAGGGUGAUCGGCCACACUGGAACUGAGACACGGUCCAGACUCCUACGGGAGGCAGCAGUAGGGAAUCUUCCGCAAUGGGCGAAAGCCUGACGGAGCAACGCCGCGUGAGUGAUGAAGGUCUUCGGAUCGUAAAACUCUGUUAUUAGGGAAGAACAUAUGUGUAAGUAACUGUGCACAUCUUGACGGUACCUAAUCAGAAAGCCACGGCUAACUACGUGCCAGCAGCCGCGGUAAUACGUAGGUGGCAAGCGUUAUCCGGAAUUAUUGGGCGUAAAGCGCGCGUAGGCGGUUUUUUAAGUCUGAUGUGAAAGCCCACGGCUCAACCGUGGAGGGUCAUUGGAAACUGGAAAACUUGAGUGCAGAAGAGGAAAGUGGAAUUCCAUGUGUAGCGGUGAAAUGCGCAGAGAUAUGGAGGAACACCAGUGGCGAAGGCGACUUUCUGGUCUGUAACUGACGCUGAUGUGCGGAA